Long non-coding RNA from Amphiprion ocellaris (clown anemonefish), 1394 nucleotides. NCBI's taxonomy places the organism in Eukaryota, Metazoa, Chordata, Actinopteri, Pomacentridae. The record is from Ensembl.
UGUCGGUCCCCCAUAAUGCAAUGCUCCUGGCAAAGCCAAAUGGAAUGCCCCCGUUUAACACACUCACACACAAGGCACACAAACACGCUCACAAAGAGAGCAGGCGUCGAUCAGCAAUUAUAAAAGCCACACUAGUUAAAGCGGACAUGACUGAACCUUCCAGAGGUCUCUUUUACCUUCCUAUCAUCUAUCUAUGGACAGCAAUACAAAGCUUUGCACACAUCCUGUUGUUGGACAACUACAGAACAAGAUCUCUUUGCACCCUAAACAAAUUUCCUAUUUGCCUAAUUACCCUGGAUCAGGAGGGGUGGAGGCCGAUGUUCUGGCAUCUCUGGCCCCUCCGGUCCACCUGUCAGGGGAAAGGCUUGGCUGGACACUGCUGGUCUGUAUGGUGAGUGACUUCAGAAGAGGACGUCUGGAGGUCAGGUGGAGAUCAGCAUCAGAGGACCACAUGUCAACCGGACCAUACAGUAUCGCUGUAACCAGGAGGCAUCGCGGCCACAACGCUGUGGCAGUUAUAACAGUAGCGACCAGUGACUGGCCGUCAUACAGUUGCUCUGUGAGUCACAGACAUCGUUCAAAAGUCACGAGGACACACCUCACCACUUCAUCAGCUGAUCAUAACAAGAUUUGCUAUGAGGAUGAAGACAUAAAAGAUAUUGCUGUGAGGACAAACGCGGCGGUUGUACUGGCCCUGAGGCUUAUUCUCAUGAAGAUCCUCGUCUUUGAUGCUCUGGUGACCAUUUAUGUUGUUAUUAAGUGAUCGUUGGUACUGAAAGGUUUCUGAUGCACCAAGUGACCAUGAAAAGAAAACUAACCCCACAGAGGGGAACUUUUUCUUGUCUGAAGUCUCCACAGUGAGGACCGCUACAGUCGAAGAUGAUAAGUGUGUUCCAGUCUCAUGGUUUAUUUCAUGAAGACGGUUUUACUGUGAGAUUUUUGGAAAGUUUCCUGAAUCAAAUGGGAAUUGUUUCACUCUCAGGAUCACAGGAGUAGGUUUUGUAAUGCGACAAAUCCUUGGUCGCGCCUUUUUCAGCCGUCUCACACCGACUUCACAGGUGUUGCUGACUAUGGCAGUUGAAAACAGAACGAGUUUGUGAGGCCAAACCUGGUAUCUGAUUGAAGCCUAACCUCAGACAGACGGUUUAAUGCUCCUGCUGUUGCAUAUGUGUAUGUGCUUUUGUGAGACGAUAUGCGUGUCUAGUUGUAACCAUAAUACUGAAUUUCUUAAUUUACCAGAAAGAAAAUUGUGAGUGUUUGGAAGUUUCCACAUAAUUUCAUUUUUGAAAUAGCCUCAUUUUGCUUUUUAUAUUCUUCAAUGUAAAUUCAAUAAACACAAAGUAAGUUUGGAGUGUUUCGACUUUAUUGUUUUUUAAAUAAAACACUGGCAAACA